GGUUUCUUACUUGCUGAGGAAAAAUACAAUGGUUGGAUACUUGAGCAUUGCGCAUUAUUAAUGUUUCUCCUGCACAUUUAAAACUAUGAUAAAAAUAAACGCGUAGAAUUGGACCAUAUGAGAUAUAAUUAUAUCGUCAUGACCAUAUGGUACAAAUACUCAUAUAGGUCUGAACAUAUAUAACAAGGUCUGCAUAGAUCGAAUAAUGCCAGCGCAUUGUAUUACUG
Molecule: long non-coding RNA, 227 nt
Filed under: Mytilus galloprovincialis (Mediterranean mussel)
Lineage: Eukaryota; Metazoa; Mollusca; Bivalvia; Mytilida; Mytilidae
Source: RNAcentral